This 253-nucleotide ribosomal RNA is filed under the name uncultured bacterium. RNAcentral describes it as "partial 16S ribosomal RNA". It matches the Rfam family "Bacterial small subunit ribosomal RNA", at positions 524 to 776 of the family's 1533-position model. The record is from RNAcentral.
UACAGAGGGGGCAAGCGUUGUUCGGAAUUACUGGGCGUAAAGGGCGCGUAGGCGGCCCGCUAAGUCGAACGUGAAAUCCCCAGGCUCAACCUGGGAACUGCGUCCGAUACUGGCAGGCUUGAAUCCGGGAGAGGGAUGUGGAAUUCCAGGUGUAGCGGUGAAAUGCGUAGAUAUCUGGAGGAACACCGGUGGCGAAGGCGGCAUCCUGGACCGGCAUUGACGCUGAGGCGCGAAAGCUAGGGGAGCAAACGGG